This 1404-nucleotide ribosomal RNA is filed under the name uncultured bacterium. RNAcentral describes it as "partial 16S ribosomal RNA". It matches the Rfam family "Bacterial small subunit ribosomal RNA". The record is from RNAcentral.
UAAAGUUGAUCCUGUGCUCAGAAUCAAGGCUGUGUGGCGCUGCCUCAUACAUGCAAGUCGAACGCGAAAGAUCCCCUUCGGGGGAUGAGUAGAGUGGCGCACGGGUGACUAACACGUACGUAAUCUACCUUUGGGUGGGGAAUAACGCAGGGAAACUUGCGCUAAUACCGCAUAAUGCAGCGGCACCACAUGGUGACAGUUGUUAGAGCGGGGGAUUUUCGGACCUCGCGCCUAAAGAGGAGCCUGCGGCAGAUUAGCUAGUUGGUAUGGUAAUGGCUUACCAAGGCGACGAUCUGUAGCCGGCCUGAGAGGGCGGUCGGCCACACUGACACUGACAUACGGGUCAGACUCCUACGGGAGGCAGCAGUCGGGAAUUUUGGACAAUGGGCGCAAGCCUGAUCCAGCCAUGCCGCGUGCGGGAAGAAGGCCUUCGGGUUGUAAACCGCUUUUGUCAGGGAAGAAACGCGCUGAGCUAAUACCUCGGCGUAAUGACGGUACCUGAAGAAUAAGCACCGGCUAACUACGUGCCAGCAGCCGCGGUAAUACGUAGGGUGCAAGCGUUAAUCGGAAUUACUGGGCGUAAAGCGCGCGUAGGCGGCUUUGCAAGUCGGGUGUGAAAUCCCCAGGCUUAACCUGGGAACUGCAUUCGAGACUGCAUUGCUAGAGUAUGGGAGAGGGCAGUGGAAUUUCCGGUGCAGCGGUGAAAUGCGUAGAUAUCGGAAGGAACAUCAGUGGCGAAAGCGACUGCCUGGACCAAUACUGACGCUCAUGUGCGAAAGCGUGGGGAGCAAACAGGAUUAGAUACCCUGGUAGUCCACGCCAUAAACGAUGACAACUGGAUGUCGGAGGGGUCUGCCCUUCGGUGUCGUAGCUAACGCGUUAAGUUGUCCGCCUGGGGAGUACGGCCGCAAGGCUGAAACUCAAAGGAAUUGACGGGGGCCCGCACAAGCGGUGGAGCAUGUGGUUUAAUUCGACGCAACGCGAAGAACCUUACCCAGGCUUGAACUGCAGAUGACAUCCUACGAAAGUAGGCUCCCGCAAGGGCAUCUGUAGAGGUGCUGCAUGGCUGUCGUCAGCUCGUGUCGUGAGAUGUUGGGUUAAGUCCCGCAACGAGCGCAACCCUUGUCUUCUGUUGCCAUCGGGUCAAGCCGGGCACUCUGAAGAGACUGCACGGUGACAAACUCGGAGGAAGGUGGGGAUGACGUCAAGUCAGCAUGGCCUUUAUGUCUGGGGCCACACACGUGCUACAAUGGUCGGUACAAACCGUCGCGAGCCCGCAAGGGGGAGCUAAUCGGAGAAAGCCGGUCUCAGUUCGGAUUGUAGGCUGCAACUCGCCUGCAUGAAGUUGGAAUCGCUAGUAAUCGCGGAUCAGCACGCCGCGGUGAUACGUUCCCGGGCAUUGUA